RNAcentral lists this ribosomal RNA (370 nucleotides) under uncultured bacterium. RNAcentral's name for it is "bacterial SSU rRNA". It matches the Rfam family "Bacterial small subunit ribosomal RNA", at positions 9 to 381 of the family's 1533-position model. The record is from RNAcentral.
GAGUUUGAUCAUGGCUCAGAUUGAACGCUGGCGGCAUGCUUUACACAUGCAAGUCGAACGGUAACAGGGAGCUUGCUCCGCUGACGAGUGGCGAACGGGUGAGUAAUGCGUCGGAACGUGCCGAGUAGUGGGGGAUAACGCAUCGAAAGGUGUGCUAAUACCGCAUACGAACUGAGGUUGAAAGUGGGGGACCUUCGGGCCUCACGCUAUUCGAGCGGCCGACGUCUGAUUAGCUAGUAGGUGAGGUAAAGGCUCACCUAGGCGACGAUCAGUAGCGGGUCUGAGAGGAUGAUCCGCCACACUGGGACUGAGACACGGCCCAGACUCCUACGGGAGGCAGCAGUGGGGAAUUUUGGACAAUGGGCGCAAG